RNAcentral lists this transfer RNA (73 nucleotides) under Magnaporthiopsis poae ATCC 64411. Its description in RNAcentral is "Magnaporthe poae ATCC 64411 tRNA". It matches the Rfam family "tRNA". From Rfam's summary of the family: Transfer RNA (tRNA) molecules are approximately 80 nucleotides in length. Their secondary structure includes four short double-helical elements and three loops (D, anti-codon, and T loops). Further hydrogen bonds mediate the characteristic L-shaped molecular structure. tRNAs have two regions of fundamental functional importance: the anti-codon, which is responsible for specific mRNA codon recognition, and the 3' end, to which the tRNAs corresponding amino acid is attached (by aminoacyl-tRNA synthetases). tRNAs cope with the degeneracy of the genetic code in two manners: having more than one tRNA (with a specific anti-codon) for a particular amino acid; and 'wobble' base-pairing, i.e. permitting non-standard base-pairing at the 3rd anti-codon position. The record is from Rfam by way of RNAcentral. Lineage: Eukaryota; Fungi; Ascomycota; Sordariomycetes; Magnaporthales; Magnaporthaceae.
UGCGGAUUAUUGUAAACGGUUAACAAAUUUGACUCAUGACCAAAAAAUAUAGGUUCAAAUCCUAUAUCCGCCU